AUUGAACGCUGGCGGCAGGCCUAACACAUGCAAGUCGAGCGGAUGAAGGGAGCUUGCUCCUGGAUUCCGCGGCGGGCGGGUGGGUGAUGCCUAGGAAUCUGCCUGGUAGUGGGGGCUAACGUCCGGAAACGGGCGCUAAUACCGCAUACGUCCUGAGGGAGAAAGUGGGGGAUCUUCGGACCUCACGCUAUCAGAUGAGCCUAGGUCGGAUUAGCUAGUUGGUGGGGUAAAGGCCUACCAAGGCGACGAUCCGUAACUGGUCUGCGAGGAUGAUCAGCCACACUGGAACUGAGACACGGUCCAGACUCCUACGGGAGGCAGCAGUGGGGAAUAUUGGACAAUGGGCGAAAGCCUGAUCCAGCCAUGCCGCGUGUGUGAAGAAGGUCUUCGGAUUGUAAAGCACUGUAAGUAGGGAGGAAGGGCAGUAAGUUAAUACCUGGCUGUUUUGACGUUACCAACAGAAUAAGCACCGGCUAACUUCGUG
Molecule: ribosomal RNA, 484 nt
Filed under: uncultured bacterium
Lineage: Bacteria
Description: partial 16S ribosomal RNA
Rfam family: Bacterial small subunit ribosomal RNA
Source: RNAcentral